GAAACGGAAUGAAAUUAUCAAUUUCAUUGGCUGGCGUGAGAUCAAUAACACCGAUACCGGAAAUUGGUGUUCAAGUGCGGGAAUUACACGUGGAAAUUCACGAAUACGACGUAAACAAAGUCGAAAUUGCAUUUAUUUGCAAGAUUUCAAAUACAAGUUAAUUGUUACAUUUAAUCUGAUUGUGGCUUUAUACGUACGAUCUGUACACUUUUGUAUCUUGUAUUAUGGCAAAUACUUUUUGUUUGUUUAUAUAUAAAUUACCGAUAUGAUGUAACAAAAUAUUUACUUCAAUUCAAUUGCGCCAGUGAUCGCCAGUGUUGGGAUUUUGGCUUGUUCUGGACCUGUUGUGUUUGCCGUUUGGAAAUAGCCAUCAUUGAAUUUUUGUGUGGAUAUAAGACUCUAUUUUUGAGUAUACCAUAAUAUUCUUUAUAUAACUUUAUAAAUAUAUUAAAGUAUUAAAUUAUGUGAGCUAUGGAUGGUGGAAUAUUCGGUUAAAAUAGUAGUGGAAUAUUCGAUUAAAGUAAUAAUUUUAUAACAAACCUACUGUUAAUUUAAACCCUCCACAUCCUCUCUCAAAUUGAGAUACAAGCUAUAGUUUCUAGACUCCAUGCCUGAAAUAAAUAAGCUGCUUGGCCAGCUUGGGGCUUAACAGAAAAUAAACAGGACAGCAGUGUAGGGUACAAACCACUCUCCCAUUUCUGAAAGCCUUUGGAUGAUAUAGCAUCCAUGAAAGCAUAGGUUGGGAAUAAAAUAAGCUUUAAAUUGCCAGAAUUUUGAGGUAAAAUUUAAAGGACUGAGAUUUAGAGCACCAUAAGGUGUUCACGUUGUGGCAACCGAAUGCCUUCCCACCAAAAGUGUCUGCUACUGCAGUAAGAGCAUACAAUAUGAUGUGCUGAAAUUAUAUAUGCUAACAAUAUCAGUAUGGCUACGACUAGUGGUGUAGUCCUGGAAUGUUAACAAGGGGGGGGGGGCUCUCCAACAGGGGCAAAACUUCUGUAUUUGAUCAUUUGCUAAUUAAUAUUUCUUUUCCCAAAAUUGUUGGUGAGCGGGGAGCAUUUUUCACUACCACUUUUUCCUACCACUAUUACUUUUCAAUCUGAGACACUCAAAUAUUUUCAAGAUUUGCCCGACUAAAUUGUAUGGGUAUACCCGAUGAGAUCGAGACAGGGGGUGUCACCCCUACACACACCCCCAGGUAGUUUUGUCCCUUUUCUAAGUCCCCCUGAGCCCCUCCCCUACUAGACCACUGGCUAUGACAAUGCCAUAGUGGCAGCAGGUCAUCCCACAUGCAUCUUACAUUCCACUUGCAACAUUAUAUAGUUAACGUACAGUACAUAUCUAAUGGGAAUAGUAGCUAGUUACCUUGAUUUGGCCAUAUACCUGUUGCAGGCAUACAUCAGCACAUGUAAGUUAUGAUUUGUCUUCCAGGGAUAUGAAGCAAUGUCAGGAGGUCAGGGUAAUGUAGCUUACCCCAUAACCCCAAUAAUGGCAGAUUUCCCAAUCAGUGCCCCCAGUUUUGGAUAGGCAAUUUAGCAACACCCUGCCUUGCCUGCCACCUUUCAGACAGGCACCCAACCUGAUGACAUCAGUCUGUGUUAAUUGUUAAACCCAUAGAUAGGUCUCCUAUAUCUAUGGUUAAACCCAAUAGUUAUGAUAAAUGAUAAUAUUAUAUCAGCAAAAACAUUUCAAAGUUCAAACACUGUGUCAUAAUUCCAUUUAAUUAAGUUAUUUUCAAGCAUCAAUAAUUAAUUGUCAACAUAAUUUUUUAUGACUCAACUAAUAAAUAAAUUAAAUACAUAUAACCAUGGAACUGUUUGUAUGAAUGUAAUGCAAUGCAUAAUACAGUGCCGUAGCCAGAACGAUAAUUGGGGGGGGGGGCACAUAUUCAUAUAUUCGUGUUCACAUACCAUAAAAACAAUUGAUUUCAAAAGAAAUUAAUAAAGCAGAACACGAAUAUAUGAAUAUGUGCCCCCCCCCAAUUAUCGUUCUGGCUACGGUACUGGCACAAUGUUAAAUCAAACUUAUCACAGGACAAAGGAAUGAUAUAGCUAGAGUAAUAACAGAGGGAAGUAUUUUCAUGCUUAUUUUAAAUAUCAAUACAAUGCACCAAUUAAAGUAUCACUAUGUAAUUGUAAUAAACAAAAUAGGCUAACAGGUCCACAGUUGCCCAUAAAGCAUUCUACAUAUUUUAAUAAUAUAAAAAAUAUCUAAUAGUUUGUAAUAAUCUAGAUCCUCUAUAAAACCUCUGUCAGUGGCCUUCUUGCGAAGUCUCUCGAUACCAUUUCUUGACCGUAUAAAAUCCAUAGAAAUGAUUAGUUUAUAUACACCGCAUAUAUAUUUACUCUGUAACUUUUAGCACAAGAAAAUGAAUCUUUUUCAAUUGAUUUCAAUGUAAAACAGUAAAAGUAUCAAAUUUUCGACUGAAUUCUACGAUUUUAUUUAUGAUUGCAACUAAUGACGCCCGCACGAAUUCAAUGUUGCGGUUUGAGCGUGAGCAUGCGCACAACUAACCGGAUAUCCAAAAUUGGAUAUCCGGUAUUCCGUUUCUC
Molecule: non-coding RNA, 2549 nt
Organism: Paramuricea clavata
Lineage: Eukaryota; Metazoa; Cnidaria; Anthozoa; Malacalcyonacea; Plexauridae
Source: the annotation of a GenBank genome assembly